AGAACCUGCGGGCGAGGUGGGUGGCUCGCCAGCCGGGACGAAGGGAAAUGAGGACCACCGCUCCGGGGCGCGAGUAGGCGCGUGGAGUCCGGGGGCUCAGCCGCCGCGCCUCUUCCUCCUGCAGCUGGAGACUGCAACAGCGGCGGGUGCACCGGCAGCAGCGACGACCCUGCGCGCAGGUGGCAGUGUAGAAGCCAGACCGGGAGCUUCCAGAAGUGGUUUCUGAAAGAGUCAAAUGUACAUGAGUAAGCAAGCACAGGAAUCUGAAAAACCACAGGAAUGAAAUGCAGAUAACUCUUUAGAAAACUUUUGUAGGAAAAGCGCCUCGUGUGAUCUGGAACAAAGACGUUUUAUAAUCAGAUUUAUCAAGCUGCGAAGAGGGAGUUUUAGUGAACGGAAGCAGCAGCAUUCUGUCACCAGGAAAUACUCCUUUAUCCAGAAUUGCCUUGUAACUGUUAUGAAUGACCCUCAAUCUCACUGGAAUCUGAAUCACUCAGGAAUUCAAGCAAACUGGAUGUUUUAACCACUGUUCAGCUUUCUUAUGGAAUGACAGAGAACUUGUAAAGAUAAAACACCAGUUUGCAGGAAGAAAGGAAGAGAAUGGAAAUUGCUUCUGGAAAAUACUAGUUUUACAAUAUGUUUUGUUUGUCUGCUCUCUUAAAUAAACUUAAUCCUAUAAACAUUUUUUAAGAACUAGCCAUUAAGACUGUUAAGUUCUCAAUUAUAAAGGAAUAAAAUGUUUUAAGGAGGAUUUAUUUGCCCUUGCUUAUAUGAACUGCAUAUUUUUAGUAGGAAAUCAUGUAAUUUAAAUUAGUAUUGGUUAACAGAUUUAACGUAGAAAAUGGACAUAUAAAGAAUACAAGGAUAAAUGUCUACAUGUAAUAAUGGAUGGUAGUGAUAUAAUGCAUUUUUGUCAUCCCAUGCUGAAUUCAGUAAAAAUAAAGCUAAUGACUUGGAGCUUUUAAAA
Homo sapiens (human) is the source of this 967-nucleotide long non-coding RNA. Ensembl annotates it as miR222/221 cluster host gene. Its record names the gene MIR222HG. Lineage: Eukaryota; Metazoa; Chordata; Mammalia; Primates; Hominidae. The record is from Ensembl.